AACGAUUAGGUAAAACUGACGGAUUAGAUGAUUUCCUCGCAAGGGGUUAUCGUUUGAGAAGUUAGUUAAAUCUCAUUGUUUAGAGGAAGGAGAAGUCGUAACAAGGUAUCCGUAGGUGAACCUGCGGAUGGAUCAUUUC
RNAcentral lists this ribosomal RNA (139 nucleotides) under Heterostelium pallidum. RNAcentral describes it as "partial 18S ribosomal RNA". It matches the Rfam family "Eukaryotic small subunit ribosomal RNA", at positions 1692 to 1831 of the family's 1831-position model. The record is from RNAcentral. Lineage: Eukaryota; Evosea; Eumycetozoa; Acytosteliales; Acytosteliaceae.